UCUGCCGCCACGGCUGCCGCCUCCGGUAGCUUUCACCGUUGUCGCAUCAACAACCUUCACCGUCAAGUUAUGACCAUGUGUCCCAGGUUUUAAGCUGUCCACUUUCACAAACACCGGCUUUUUCUUCUCGGUUGUCGCCGCCGUACUGGUUGCCGCUGCCGCCGUCGUAGCCAUCGCAAAUAUCUUAAACCCUAACCUUUUCCAAAAUUCAUAAAUGCAGAUAUAUAUACCCUGCUCAUUACGUGCGGUGAAGAGGAUGGAUCCAGUAUCAUCACCAACGAGGCACUCAGAGAUUCGCGGUGGAGCCCUAGGGUUUAGCGACCCCGACGCUCUGCCGCCACGGCUGCCGCCUCCGGUAGCUUUCACCGUUGUCGCAUCAACAACCUUCACCGUCAAGUUAUGACCAUGUGUCCCAGGUUUUAAGCUGUCCACUUUCACAAACACCGGCUUUUUCUUCUCGGUUGUCGCCGCCGUACUGGUUGCCGCUGCCGCCGUCGUAGCCAUCGCAAAUAUCUUAAACCCUAACCUUUUCAGAAAAAAAUUGGAAAUGAGAAGAAAAGAGUAAGGGAGAGAGUGACGAAUAAAACAAACAAAUUAGGGUUUUGAAGGGGUCCUCUAUUUAUAUUCGACAUUCAGAAAAUGAAUUACAAAAUAAAGAAAAACAACAGAAAUGUAUAAUAAUUUUAAUAAAUAGAAAU
This 698-nucleotide long non-coding RNA is filed under the name Nicotiana benthamiana. RNAcentral's name for it is "long non-coding RNA (NBEN_LNC018602)". Lineage: Eukaryota; Viridiplantae; Streptophyta; Magnoliopsida; Solanales; Solanaceae. The record is from RNAcentral.